GACGAACGCUGGCGGCGUGCCUAAUACAUGCAAGUUGAGCGCUGAAGGUUGGUCCUUGUACCAACUGGAUGAGCAGCGAACGGGUGAGUAACGCGUGGGGAAUCUGCCUUUGAGCGGGGGACAACAUUUGGAAACGAAUGCUAAUACCGCAUAAAAACUUUAAACACAAGUUUUAAGUUUUAAAGAUGCAAUUGCAUCACUCAAAGAUGAUCCCGCGUUGUAUUAGCUAGUUGGUGAGGUAAAGGCUCACCAAGGCGAUGAUACAUAGCCGACCUGAGAGGGGGAUCGGCCACAUUGGGACUGAGACACGGCCCAAACUCCUACGGGAGGCAGCAGUAGGGAAUCUUCGGCAAUGGACGAAAGUCUGACCGAGCAACGCCGCGUGAGUGAAGAAGGUUUUCGGAUCGUAAAACUCUGUUGGUAGAGAAGAACGUUGGUGAGAGUGGAAAGCUCAUCAAGUGACGGUAACUACCCAGAAAGGGACGGCUAACUACGUG
This 497-nucleotide ribosomal RNA is filed under the name uncultured bacterium. Its description in RNAcentral is "partial 16S ribosomal RNA". It matches the Rfam family "Bacterial small subunit ribosomal RNA", at positions 28 to 507 of the family's 1533-position model. The record is from RNAcentral.